Molecule: non-coding RNA, 903 nt
Filed under: Coelastrella sp. NTEB01
Lineage: Eukaryota; Viridiplantae; Chlorophyta; Chlorophyceae; Sphaeropleales; Scenedesmaceae
Description: bacterial SSU rRNA
Rfam family: Eukaryotic small subunit ribosomal RNA (bases 1-542)
Source: RNAcentral
UUCUGUCGGGACGGGCUCUGGGCUCACUGUCCGGGACUCGAGUCGACGUGGUUACUUUGAGUAAAUUAGAGUGUUCAAAGCAGGCUUACGCCUGAAUACUUUAGCAUGGAAUAACACGAUAGGACUCUGGCCUAUCUUGUUGGUCUGUAGGACUGGAGUAAUGAUUAAGAGGGACAGUCGGGGGCAUUCGUAUUUCAUUGUCAGAGGUGAAAUUCUUGGAUUUAUGAAAGACGAACUACUGCGAAAGCAUUUGCCAAGGAUGUUUUCAUUAAUCAAGAACGAAAGUUGGGGGCUCGAAGACGAUUAGAUACCGUCGUAGUCUCAACCAUAAACGAUGCCGACUAGGGAUUGGCGAAUGUUUUUUUAAUGACUUCGCCAGCACCUUAUGAGAAAUCAAAGUUUUUGGGUUCCGGGGGGAGUAUGGUCGCAAGGCUGAAACUUAAAGGAAUUGACGGAAGGGCACCACCAGGCGUUAACAAAGCUGAAAGCUCUAGCGCCAGUGAGGGGGAAACCUCUUGCUAGUCAACACAAUUUGAUUGUGUUGGCAACACCUUCAAAUUGCUGGAAAAUUCUAAAGCCAUUGCAUACCAAGGUGUGAAGGAAACUUCAUGCUGGCCAGGGUAAUGACCUCGGGUAUGGUGACAACUGCAAUGGAUGACGAGAUUUUCAGUCUCUGAAAUGGACAACCAGCAGCCAAGUCCUAAACAUGAUGUAAUAUCAUGCAUGGAUGCAGUUCACAGACUAAAUGGAGGUGGGCUGUCGAAUAAAUACCGACGGCUUAAGAUAUAGUCGGCCCUUAUCGAAAGAUAACCAGUAAGAGGAAACCAUGUUUAUAGUGGUGGAGAGCUUACUGGGCAUCAGGUAGUACUUGGCAGUGUGAGCUGUCAAGGGCUCCACCAUGGU